AGCGAACGCUGGCGGCAGGCUUAACACAUGCAAGUCGAGCGGGCAUCCUUGUGGUGUCAGCGGCAGACGGGUGAGUAACGCGUGGGAACGUGCCCUUCGGUUCGGAAUAACUCAGGGAAACUUGAGCUAAUACCGGAUAAGUGCGAGAGCAGAAAGGUUUAUCUGCCGAAGGAUCGGCCCGCGUCUGAUUAGCUAGUUGGUGAGGUUAUGGCUCACCAAGGCGACGAUCAGUAGCUGGUCUGAGAGGAUGAUCAGCCACACUGGGACUGAGACACGGCCCAGACUCCUACGGGAGGCAGCAGUGGGGAAUAUUGGACAAUGGGGGCAACCCUGAUCCAGCCAUGCCGCGUGAGUGAUGACGGCCUUAGGGUUGUAAAGCUCUUUUCUCCGGGACGAUAAUGACGGUACCGGAGGAAUAAGCCCCGGCUAACUUCGUG
RNAcentral lists this ribosomal RNA (437 nucleotides) under uncultured bacterium. RNAcentral's name for it is "partial 16S ribosomal RNA". It matches the Rfam family "Bacterial small subunit ribosomal RNA", at positions 29 to 507 of the family's 1533-position model. The record is from RNAcentral.